This 473-nucleotide ribosomal RNA is filed under the name Ichthyosaura alpestris (Alpine newt). RNAcentral describes it as "partial 16S ribosomal RNA". It matches the Rfam family "Bacterial large subunit ribosomal RNA", at positions 1853 to 2547 of the family's 2925-position model. The record is from RNAcentral. Lineage: Eukaryota; Metazoa; Chordata; Amphibia; Caudata; Salamandridae.
UCUGGCCUGCCCAGUGAUCAUUUUUAACGGCCGCGGUAUUAUGACCGUGCAAAGGUAGCGUAAUCACUUGUCUUUUAAAUAAAGACCCGUAUGAAAGGCAAAACGAAAGUUCAACUGUCUCUUUAAUCUUAUCCGUGAAAUUUAUCUCUCCGUGCAGAAGCGGAGAUAACCAUAUAAGACGAGAAGACCCUAUGGAGCUUUAAAUACAAAACCAACUACAACCACAUUUUAGCCAACAGGCAAAAAAUUAAUAAAUGUAAUCAUGGUUUGAAUUUUCGGUUGGGGCGACCACGGAGCAAAGAUUAACCUCCACGACAGAUAAUUUAGAAUAACACUUCGAAAAUUAAAACAUUUAUUUUAAUGAUCCACUAAGUGACCAACGAACCAAGUUACCCUAGGGAUAACAGCGCAAUCCUUUCUAAGAGUUCAUAUCGAGAAUGGGUUUACGACCUCGAUGUUGGAUCAGGACACCC